GACGAACGCUGGCGGCGUGCUUAACACAUGCAAGUCGAACGGAAAGGCCCUGCUUUUGUGGGGUGCUCGAGUUGCGAACGGGUGAGUAACACGUGAGUAACCUGCCCUUGACUUUGGGAUAACUUCAGGAAACUGGGGCUAAUACCGGAUAGGAGCUCCUGCUGCAUGGUGGGGGUUGGAAAGUUUCGGCGGUUGGGGAUGGACUCGCGGCUUAUCAGCUUGUUGGUGGGGUAGUGGCUUACCAAGGCUUUGACGGGUAGCCGGCCUGAGAGGGUGACCGGCCACAUUGGGACUGAGAUACGGCCCAGACUCCUACGGGAGGGAGCAGUGGGGAAUAUUGCACAAUGGGCGGAAGCCUGAUGCAGCAAAGCCGCGUGCGGGAUGACGGCCUUCGGGUUGUAAACCGCUUUCGCCUGUGACGAAGCGUGAGUGACGGUAAUGGGUAAAGAAGCACCGGCUAACUACGUG
RNAcentral lists this ribosomal RNA (468 nucleotides) under uncultured bacterium. Its description in RNAcentral is "partial 16S ribosomal RNA". It matches the Rfam family "Bacterial small subunit ribosomal RNA", at positions 28 to 507 of the family's 1533-position model. The record is from RNAcentral.